RNAcentral lists this ribosomal RNA (468 nucleotides) under uncultured bacterium. RNAcentral describes it as "partial 16S ribosomal RNA". It matches the Rfam family "Bacterial small subunit ribosomal RNA", at positions 28 to 507 of the family's 1533-position model. The record is from RNAcentral.
GACGAACGCUGGCGGCGUGCUUAACACAUGCCAGUCGAACGGAAAGGCCCUGCUUUUGUGGGGUGCUCGAGUGGCGAACGGGUGAGUAACACGUGAGUAACCUGCCCUUGACUUUGGGAUAACUUCAGGAAACUGGGGCUAAUACCGGAUAGGAGCUCCUGCUGCAUGGUGGGGGUUGGAAAGUUUCGGCGGUUGGGGAUGGACUCGCGGCUUAUCAGCUUGUUGGUGGGGUAGUGGCUUACCAAGGCUUUGACGGGUAGCCGGCCUGAGAGGGUGACCGGACAAAUUGGGACUGAGCUACGGCCCAGACUCCUACGGGAGGCAGCAGUGGGGAAUAUUGCACAAUGGGCGGAAGCCUGAUGCAGCAACGCCGCGUGCGGGAUGACGGCCUUCGGGUUGUAAACCGCUUUCGCCUGUGACGAAGCGUGAGUGACGGUAAUGGGUAAAGAAGCACCGGCUAACUACGUG